RNAcentral lists this ribosomal RNA (421 nucleotides) under uncultured bacterium. RNAcentral describes it as "partial 16S ribosomal RNA". It matches the Rfam family "Bacterial small subunit ribosomal RNA", at positions 360 to 773 of the family's 1533-position model. The record is from RNAcentral.
AAUUUUGGACUAUGGGCGAAAGCCUGAUCCAGCCAUGCCGCGUGUGUGAAGAAGGUCUUCGGAUUGUAAAGCACUUUUAGUUGGGGGAAAGGCCGGUAAGUUAAUACUUUGCUUUUUUGACUUCACCGCCAGAAAACGCCCGGGCACUCUUCGCGCAGGCAGCCGCGGUAAUACGAAGGGUGCAAGCGUUAAUCGGAAUUACUGGGCGUAAAGCGCGCGUAGGUGGUUUGUUAAGUUGGAAGUGAAAGCCCCGGGCUCAACCUGGGAACUGCUUUGAAAACUGGCAAGCUAGAGUACGGUAGAGGGUAGUGGAAUUUCCUGUGUAGCGGUGAAAUGCGUAGAUAUAGGAAGGAACACCAGUGGCGAAGGCGACCACCUGGGCUAAUACUGACACUGAGGUGCGAAAGCGUGGGGAGCAAAC